CCUACGGGUGGCAGCAGUGGGGAAUAUUGCACAAUGGGCGAAAGCCUGAUGCAGCAACGCCGCGUGAGCGAUGAAGGCAUUCGGGUCGUAAAGCUCUGUCCUCAAGGGAGAAAAUGACGGUACUUGAGGAGGAAGCACCGGCUAACUACGUGCCAGAAGCCGCGGUAAUACGUAGGGGGCUAGCGUUAUCCGGAAUUACUGGGCGUAAAGGGUGCGUAGGUGGUUUUUUAAGUCGGAGGUGAAAGGCUAGGGCUCAACCGUGGUAAGCCUUUGAAACUGGGGAACUUGAGUGCAGGAGGGGAGAGUGGAAUUCCUGGUGUAGCGGUGAAAUGCGUAGAUAUUAGGAGGAACACCGGUUGCGAAGGCGGCUCUCUGGACUGUAACUGACGCUGAGGCACGAAAGCGUGGGGAGCAAACAGGAUUAGAUACCCCGGUAGUC
This 439-nucleotide ribosomal RNA is filed under the name uncultured bacterium. RNAcentral's name for it is "partial 16S ribosomal RNA". It matches the Rfam family "Bacterial small subunit ribosomal RNA", at positions 338 to 795 of the family's 1533-position model. The record is from RNAcentral.